CCUACGGGAGGCAGCAGUGAGGAAUAUUGGUCAAUGGACGAGAGUCUGAACCAGCCAAGUAGCGUGAAGAAUGACUGCCCUAUGGGUUGUAAACUUCUUUUAUAUGGGAAUAAAAUGUUCCACGUGUGGGAUUUUGUAUGUACCAUAUGAAUAAGGAUCGGCUAACUCCGUGCCAGCAGCCGCGGUAAUACGGAGGAUCCGAGCGUUAUCCGGAUUUAUUGGGUUUAAAGGGAGCGUAGGUGGGUUGUUAAGUCAGUUGUGAAAGUUUGCGGCUCAACCGUAAAAUUGCAGUUGAAACUGGCAGUCUUGAGUACAGUAGAGGUGGGCGGAAUUCGUGGUGUAGCGGUGAAAUGCUUAGAUAUCACGAAGAACUCCGAUUGCGAAGGCAGUUCACUGGACUGCAACUGACACUGAGGCUCGAAAGUGUGGGUAUCAAACAGGAUUAGAUACCCUUGUAGUC
This 460-nucleotide ribosomal RNA is filed under the name uncultured bacterium. Its description in RNAcentral is "partial 16S ribosomal RNA". It matches the Rfam family "Bacterial small subunit ribosomal RNA", at positions 338 to 795 of the family's 1533-position model. The record is from RNAcentral.